Molecule: microRNA precursor, 83 nt
Filed under: Capsicum annuum
Lineage: Eukaryota; Viridiplantae; Streptophyta; Magnoliopsida; Solanales; Solanaceae
Description: MIR8024 microRNA precursor family
Rfam family: MIR8024 microRNA precursor family
Source: Rfam by way of RNAcentral
UUGAAGUUGAAUACUUCAACUUGCAGACAUGAAAAAUUUGAAGAUUUCAACUUACAUACUUGGAAGAUUCAAGGAAUUCAAAU